Molecule: ribosomal RNA, 403 nt
Filed under: uncultured bacterium
Lineage: Bacteria
Description: bacterial SSU rRNA
Rfam family: Bacterial small subunit ribosomal RNA
Source: RNAcentral
UGAGGGAUAUUGCGCAAUGGGGGAAACCCUGACGCAGCGACGCCGCGUGGGUGAUGAAGGCCUUCGGGUCGUAAAACCCUUUUGCCACUGACGAGGAAGGACGGUAGGUGGCGAAUAAGCACCGGCUAACUCCGUGCCAGCAGCCGCGGUAAUACGGAGGGUGCGAGCGUUAUCCGGAUUUGCUGGGUUUAAAGGGUGCGUAGGUGGGCUUAUAAGUCAGUGGUGAAAUCUCCGAGCUUAACUGGGAAACUGCCGUUGAUACUAUAGGUCUUGAAUUAUCUGGAGGUAAGCGGAAUAUGUCCUGUAGCGGUGAAAUGCUUAGAUAUUACAUAGAACACCAAUUGCGAAGGCAGCUUACUACAUAUAAAUUGACGCUGAGGCACGAAAGCGUGGGGAUCAAACA